CCUACGGGUGGCAGCAGUGAGGAAUAUUGGUCAAUGGGCGAAAGCCUGAACCAGCCAAGUCGCGUGAGGGAGUACUGCCCUAUGGGUUGUAAACCUCUUUUGUCGGGGAGCAAAAGCCGGACGUGUCCGGCUGUGAGAGUACCCGAAGUAAAAGCAUCGGCUAACUCCGUGCCAGCAGCCGCGGUAAUACGGAGGAUGCGGGCGUUAUCCGUAUUUAUUGGGGUUAAAGGGUGCGCAGGCGGAUUUUUAAGUCAGCGGUCAAAUCGUGGGGCUCAACCCCAUCCAGCCGAUGAAACUGGGGAUCUAGAGUGUGCGAGAGGUAUGCGGAAUGCGUGGUGUAGCGGUGAAAUGCAUAGAUAUCUCGCAGAACCCCGAUUGCGAAGGCAGCAUACUGGGGCACAACUGACGCUCAGGCACGAAAGCGUGGGUAUCGAACAGGAUUAGAUACCCUGGUAGUC
This 458-nucleotide ribosomal RNA is filed under the name uncultured bacterium. Its description in RNAcentral is "partial 16S ribosomal RNA". It matches the Rfam family "Bacterial small subunit ribosomal RNA", at positions 338 to 795 of the family's 1533-position model. The record is from RNAcentral.